Molecule: transfer RNA, 84 nt
Filed under: Morganella morganii subsp. morganii KT
Lineage: Bacteria; Pseudomonadati; Pseudomonadota; Gammaproteobacteria; Enterobacterales; Morganellaceae
Also listed under: 1 other name
Rfam family: tRNA
About the family: Transfer RNA (tRNA) molecules are approximately 80 nucleotides in length.
Source: Rfam by way of RNAcentral
GCCCAGAUGGUGAAAUCGGUAGACACAAGGGAUUUAAAAUCCCUCGGCGGCAACGCUGUGCGGGUUCAAGUCCCGCUCUGGGCA